AGUGAACGCUGGCGGUAGGCCUAACACAUGCAAGUCGAACGGCAGCACAGGAGAGCUUGCUCUCUGGGUGGCGAGUGGCGGACGGGUGAGGAAUACAUCGGAAUCUGCCCAGUCGUGGGGGAUAACGUAGGGAAACUUACGCUAAUACCGCAUACGACCUUCGGGUGAAAGAGGGGGAUCGCAAGACCUCUCGCGAUUGGAUGAGCCGAUGUCGGAUUAGCUAGUUGGCGGGGUAAUGGCCCACCAAGGCGACGAUCCGUAGCUGGUCUGAGAGGAUGAUCAGCCAUACUGGAACUGAGACACGGUCCAGACUCCUACGGGAGGCAGCAGUGGGGAAUAUUGGACAAUGGGCGCAAGCCUGAUCCAGCCAUACCGCGUGGGUGAAGAAGGCCUUCGGGUUGUAAAGCCCUUUUGUUGGGAAAGAAAUCUUUCAGGCUAAUACCCUGGGAGGAUGACGGUACCCAAAGAAUAAGCACCGGCUAACUUCGUG
RNAcentral lists this ribosomal RNA (490 nucleotides) under uncultured bacterium. RNAcentral describes it as "partial 16S ribosomal RNA". It matches the Rfam family "Bacterial small subunit ribosomal RNA", at positions 29 to 507 of the family's 1533-position model. The record is from RNAcentral.